Long non-coding RNA from Schistocerca serialis cubense, 1359 nucleotides. RefSeq lists it as uncharacterized. The transcript has 3 exons. The record is from RefSeq and is a predicted model, not a curated record. NCBI's taxonomy places the organism in Eukaryota, Metazoa, Arthropoda, Insecta, Orthoptera, Acrididae.
UUUGGUCACAGUUUGGCGCCGUCGCUUUUCUUCUGUUUACGACGUUCACGUGUUUCACGUUACGGGUUUGAAGUUUUGAAUGCAUUUCUAGCAGCGCCGCUGCUGCAGCGGUCACAUGGCGGUAACAUGAGUAUUGUGGUGGUGUGCCCGUCCAUUUUGAACUACUUGGGAUUCUAGGCUUUCAGGCACGCUGUCUCGUGGGUGGGCAACUAUUUCUCUGAGCAAGUGAUGUCUAGCGGGUUCAGGAUUGUAUCCUUGCUGUGAUAUGCGAACCUCCUUCCCAGCCUGAGCAUCACCCGUGGGAUGAGGUAUUUCUCUGCUGCGACACAUGUCAGGUACUGUACACAGAGCAAGAGUGGCUGCCAGACACCUGCCUAUCCACUGCAAUUAUAUUUAGCCUCCGGUGACAGCUACAAAAGUAUUGCGUAUAACUCUCUCUUGGGAGAUCGAACUGUAUCUAAUAUUGUAAAAGAAGUAGCUACCGCUGUAUGGAAAGAAAUGCAACCAAAGUAUUUAGCGGAACCUACAACACAGACAUGGAAAUCAGUCGCUUCACGGUUUGAACAUAGAUGGCAAUUCCCACACUGCGUUGGUGCAGUCGAUGGAAAACAUGUUCUUAUUAAAAAAAACCUGGCAAAAGCGGAUCAUUGUACUUUAAUUAUAAACAUACAUGCUCCAUCGUUUUGAUGGCGACGGUUGACGCAGAUAACAAAUUUAUCACCGUUGAUGUUGGCGCAGUGGGACGAUUCAGCGAUGGACAUGUACUCGUAUUUGCUAGCAGUGUGUUGGCCAAGAAAAUGAGAAAAAACACGUUAUUACUUACCAUUCCUGAACUAAUACCUACAAUUUCUGAUCCAAUGCCGUAUGUGUUUGUGGGAGAUGAAGCUUUCCCAUUGUCGGAAAACAUUAUGAGACCAUAUCCUAAGAGACAGUUUACCGACAAUUACGAACAUCAGGUCUUCAAUGCCAGACUUUCUCGAGCACUACAAACUGUGGGAUGUGCUUUCGGUAUACUAUCAUCACGUUUCCGUGCGUUCAGGAAACCAUUUGAAACCAAAGUCGACACAGUGAAAGAUGUUGUGAAAGCAGCCUGCGUUCUGCACAACUAUUUACGAUCUUCAGUAGUAGUUGCAGAUGAUGUAAAUGACAUCGAAUCGUUGCCAGCAACUCAGUUACUUCGUGUGCGAGGGAACAGGAGGAGGACUUCAUCAACUGCCUUCAAAGUGAGGAAAAAUUUCACUCAAUAUUUCAACACUUGCGGAGCAGUUCCAUGGCAACAUCAGUCAGUUCUGCUUGGUAAUUAUUGACAAUAUAGCAACUUCCAAUUAUUGUACCAUUAUUGUGCUCCACAGGUUAUGU